This is a non-coding RNA of Cinara cedri, 228 nucleotides long. Lineage: Eukaryota; Metazoa; Arthropoda; Insecta; Hemiptera; Aphididae. The record is from the annotation of a GenBank genome assembly.
GGAAUAUACAUAAAGUUCGUGGUUUGCGGUACGCCGCAUAGCGGGCAACCGUAUAGUGCGCAUGUAUCCAAAAGGUAGGGGCUUCGUAUAACGGAGGUUCCACUGUAUUCAUACGAUUUAAUAAAAUGUAAACAUUAAUUUAUAAUUAAAAAAUAGUUCAUACAUUUUUUUCAUUCAUACACAAAUACAGCAGGUACUUACAUACAUUUAUUAUAUUAUGCUGUCUUC